AUUGAACGCUGGCGGCAGGCCUAACACAUGCAAGUCGAACGGUAACAGGAAGAAGCUUGCUUCUUUGCUGACGAGUGGCGGACGGGUGAGUAAUGUCUGGGAAACUGCCUGAUGGAGGGGGAUAACUACUGGAAACGGUAGCUAAUACCGCAUAACGUCGCAAGACCAAAGAGGGGGGACCUUCGGGCCUCUUGCCAUCGGAUGUGCCCAGAUGGGAUUAGCUAGUAGGUGGGGUAACGGCUCACCUAGGCGACGAUCCCUAGCUGGUCUGAGAGGAUGACCAGCCACACUGGAACUGAGACACGGUCCAGACUCCUACGGGAGGCAGCAGUGGGGAAUAUUGCACAAUGGGCGCAAGCCUGAUGCAGCCAUGCCGCGUGUAUGAAGAAGGCC
RNAcentral lists this ribosomal RNA (393 nucleotides) under uncultured bacterium. RNAcentral's name for it is "bacterial SSU rRNA". It matches the Rfam family "Bacterial small subunit ribosomal RNA", at positions 30 to 416 of the family's 1533-position model. The record is from RNAcentral.